UGGGGAAUCUUGGACAAUGGGCGCAAGCCUGAUCCAGCCAUGCCGCGUGGGUGAAGAAGGCCUUAGGGUUGUAAAGCCCUUUCAGUCGUGACGAUGAUGACGGUAGCGACAGAAGAAGCCCCGGCUAACUCCGUGCCAGCAGCCGCGGUAAUACGGAGGAGGCAAGCGUUAUCCGGAAUUAUUGGGCGUAAAGCGUCCGCAGGUGGUUGUUCAAGUCUGCGGUUAAAGACCGGAGCUUAACUCCGGACAUGCCGUGGAAACUGAAGAACUAGAGACCGGUAGGGGUAGAGGGAAUUCCCAGUGUAGCGGUGAAAUGCGUAGAGAUUGGGAAGAACACCAGUGGCGAAAGCGCUCUACUGGGCCGGUACUGACACUCAGGGACGAAAGCUAGGGGAGCGAAAGGGAUUAGAUACCCCCGUAGUCC
RNAcentral lists this ribosomal RNA (424 nucleotides) under uncultured prokaryote. RNAcentral's name for it is "bacterial SSU rRNA". It matches the Rfam family "Bacterial small subunit ribosomal RNA", at positions 355 to 796 of the family's 1533-position model. The record is from RNAcentral.